Molecule: ribosomal RNA, 508 nt
Filed under: uncultured bacterium
Lineage: Bacteria
Description: partial 16S ribosomal RNA
Rfam family: Bacterial small subunit ribosomal RNA
Source: RNAcentral
GAUGAACGCUAGCUACAGGCUUAACACAUGCAAGUCGAGGGGAAACGACAUCGAAAGCUUGCUUUUGAUGGGCGUCGACCGGCGCACGGGUGAGUAACGCGUAUCCAACCUGCCCACCACUUGGGGAUAACCUUGCGAAAGUAAGACUAAUACCCAAUGGCGUCUCUAGAAGACAUCUGAAAGAGGUUAAAGAUUUAUCGGUGAUGGAUGGGGAUGCGUCUGAUUAGCUUGUUGGAGGGGUAACGGACCAACAAGGCGACGAUCAGUAGGGGCUCUGAGGGGAAGGUCCCCCAAAUAGGGAGUGAGACACGGUCCAAACUCCGACGGGAAGGAGCAGUGAAGGUUAGUAGGCAAUGGGCGAGAGUCUGAACCAGCCAUGUAGCGUGCAGGAUGACGGCCCUAUGGGUGGUAAACUGCUUUUAUGAGGGAAUAAAGUGAGUCUCGUGCCCCUUUUUGCAUGUACCUUAUGAAUGAGGACCGGCUAAUUCCGUGCCAGCCGCCGCAGUCA